RNAcentral lists this unclassified non-coding RNA (229 nucleotides) under Hevea brasiliensis (rubber tree). The record is from RNAcentral. Lineage: Eukaryota; Viridiplantae; Streptophyta; Magnoliopsida; Malpighiales; Euphorbiaceae.
AAUGUAAAUCAAAUUGCAACCCAUAAUGUUUUUCUCAUCAACACUAAUGACUUUUACUAAUGCAGGUUAAUAAGUCUAGUUAACUAUUAAAGGCCAUUGGCCCUAAUUCCUAACUUUAAAAUGAGUUAUUUCACUCAGAAUUAUAGUAGUACCCUUAAGCUAUGAUUUAGAGGGUAAAAGAUAGGGUUGUGUUCAGCCAGAUCCAGGUUUAGUAUAUUACCAACCAAAA